AACCCUAUCCGGCCAUCAUUCACCUUUCUCAUCUGUGCAACCCUAACAAUGCCUCCCAACAACGCCCUCUCCCAACAACGCCGCUGUCUCCCUCUCUCAACCCAUCACAACCCCUCCCUCCAACCCGUCGCAGCACCUACAUCCAUCCCUCCCUCGUCGCUCAUGCCCCACGCCGCCGUCUCCCUCUCUCACGCGUGGCGCCAACAUCAGCACCACUCGUCAGCGAAACUCGUCAGCGCCACUCAUCAGCGGCAACUCGUCAGCGCCAACCGUCAUUCUGCUAGUGCCGACGUCUCUGGUGUUUAUAGGAAACGAUCGGUGGCAUCUCCGUCGAGCUUGGCGUCGGAUGUAUCGCUGGCGUCAGUGGUAAAGAUUCGAUUCAUGGUUUAGGGUUUCUCUGAAGUCGCUGCUUGAAAGGUUCGAUUCCUUGUCCUUCAUCUUGCUUGAAACCAUCGUGAAGAAUUGCGAGAAGGCUUUCUCUGAAGUCACUGCGGAGAGGGUUCUUGAUGAUAUGGUUAGGUUAAUUGACGAUCCUCAAACCGUUUUAAUAACCACAACAAGGCUUUGAUCAUGAUUGAGGCUUGAGGCGAAUCCACCAUCGAGCUUCACUAUUUCCCUGUUUAUGAAGAAACUUACAAGGAUUUUGGAGAAGAACAUGAAGCCUAUAAUGUUGUUCUUCAGCACGUUAAAGCUCAAUGAGUAAUUUCUGGAAAUUUCUGUGUGUUUUAUAGCGUUGAAAAUUAUGAUUUAUUGAUCUAUACUUGAUGAGAAAUUUCUGGAAUUUUGAGGUUGAGGUUAAAUUUGAUUGUCCCGACUCAUUUGAUACUUCUGAUGAGUACCAUUCAUAAGAACUAUCUAUUACUCUCCACAAAAUCAAUCUAAAAGCUUAUAAAAUUUUGUUGAGGUUUAUUUCUGCAAAUUUUACAACAAAUUACUUAUGAAAAACCAAACUGGAAGCAUGCUUGGUCAGAUGUGAGCAGCAGUAAUGUAACUAAAGGUCUUGUUUUCUAUUUGCUAAAGAUAUGAAACUAUUGAAUUUAAUUACCCAUUUUUUGAAAUUUCUGAAGUUGAAACCUUUUUACCAUUUUGAAGGGAACUCAUAUUGAGAAGCAGUAAAAUAACAACCAUUUGUGCUAUCUUCAAUUUCUAAAAAAUCAAUGUUUAUAUCAUUAUUGCUUCAUUUAGAUGAAUAGGGAAGAUGUACCUAUCUCCUAUGAACAUUCAGCUUAAUCUAACUGCAAAAUGGUGGUGGCUAUCAAGGAGCAAUUGUUUCUUUUGGUUUUUAAAAAUAUCUUGGCUUAUUGUUCUAAGAUGUAAUGACAAUCAAUGUUUAAUUUGUAUAUUCUUUGAUUACUGAUCAAUGAUUUUAAGUCCAUUAUGCAGGCGUAAUUUGAUGAAUUUGAUUAUUAAACCAGGUCCUGUGCUAGAAAGGCAGCUUGUACCCUGGCUUUGUUAUGCACUCAAGUGAGGUUAAGUAGCUGGUUUUGGUCAAAGAGUAUGCUGGAUUUGUUGUGGAGUAUAUAAAUGGCAAUAAUUCGACAUACAGAAGGAAAUAGUACAUAGUGAAUUGGAUUCUGACAAGGGCAACUUUGCUAGGAUCACUGGUGGCAAUAGUGGAAAAGUAGGUUCUGUCUUUGGCAGAGAGCCUUCAUUUUCACGCUGGUGUGAUGAGGACAAAGAAGUCCAUUUGAAUCGGGAAUUAGGAAAUGCAAGGAAUGAUCUUGUGGAAGAAGACCGUGGUUUUGAAUUAUUGUUUCAUCAGGAGCUACAAAGAGGACCUUUAGAAAGGGAGAGACUGUUUCACCUAAAGUUUUAGCAUAGCAUUUUGUAUGGUGCUAGUAACAUGGAUGAAGAUUCAAUUCAUCGGAGAGUAAAUGGAUCUGAGAAGCAUGUGCCUUUUGAAAGUGUGCUAAGUUGUGAUUGCAAGUGUUCUCAUUAUCAGUGGGUGAAAUAGGAACUGUGAUUACCUUUGGCGCAAGGAAGUCUUGUGAAUUCUUCCAUGAUCGUAUGAAGGGCAGAAGUGAUGAAGGUAAAGUCAGAAAAAUUUUGAAGGUGGAACAUAACUUUUACUCUCUGGGAUCAAGACAAAGAAGAGGCCCAAUGCAUGCAUACAUGAUAUGAUCACUGAACACAUUCAAUUGCAUUGCAAAAAAGCAUAAAAAAGGCCAUACAGCAGGUCCUAUAUAUAUGCUUGAGUAAAGACAAGUGAAAGAAAAGCAAAUAUAUCAUUGAAGAUGCAGCAGGAGCACACAGUAGAUGGUAUCAACUAUUCACCUAACUUCUCAUCAUUCUCAAGCUUCAUAGUUUAUAUGUACACUCUGAGCUGCAGAAGUGUUUUUGUUCAUCUUUCCUUUACUUUAUUUUGGAGUAGUGUGUAAAAAUGUAACUCAACUAUGUUACAUACAAGAAAUAUGGUUAUUAAUGUAUAGUAAAAAUUGUCAUCUUUUGUAUUUGUUAAUUGACAUGCAAGCUAAGCAUGGGGCAACAGUACGAUCACCAAUUAGUA
Long non-coding RNA from Arachis stenosperma, 2506 nucleotides. RefSeq lists it as uncharacterized. NCBI's taxonomy places the organism in Eukaryota, Viridiplantae, Streptophyta, Magnoliopsida, Fabales, Fabaceae. The record is from RefSeq and is a predicted model, not a curated record. The transcript has 4 exons.